AGUGAACGCUGGCGGUAGGCCUAACACAUGCAAGUCGAACGGCAGCACAGUAAGAGCUUGCUCUUACGGGUUGCGAGUGGCGGACGGGUGAGGAAUACAUCCGAAUCUACUUUUUCGUGGGGGUUAACGUAGGGAAACUUACGAUAAUACCGCAUACGACCUACGGGUGAAAGCAGGGGAUCUUUGGGCCUUGCGCGAUUGUAUGAGCCGCUGUCGGAUUAGCUAGUUGGCGGGGUAAACGCCCACCAAGGCGACGCUCCGUAGCCGGACUGGGAGGAUGAUCAGCCACACUGGAACUGAGACACGGUCCAGACUACUACGAGAGGCAGCAGUGGGGAAUAUUGGACAAUGGAGGCAAGCCUGAUCCAGCCAUACCGCGUGGGUGAAGGAGGCCUUCGGGGUGUAAAGCCCUUUUGUUGGGAAAGAAAAGCAGCAGGUUAAUACCCCGCUGGUCUGACGGUACCCAAAGAAUAAGCACCGGCUAACUUCGUG
RNAcentral lists this ribosomal RNA (492 nucleotides) under uncultured bacterium. Its description in RNAcentral is "partial 16S ribosomal RNA". It matches the Rfam family "Bacterial small subunit ribosomal RNA", at positions 29 to 507 of the family's 1533-position model. The record is from RNAcentral.